Molecule: long non-coding RNA, 575 nt
Organism: Saccostrea cuccullata (small rock oyster)
Lineage: Eukaryota; Metazoa; Mollusca; Bivalvia; Ostreida; Ostreidae
Exons: 3
Source: RefSeq, a predicted model, not a curated record
UUUAAUCCUUUCAAUGAAUUGGCGGGCUUGAACAGAGCAGAUAUGUCCGGAUCUGUAAGUGAACGCAAGAAUGUUAACCAGUGAAAUGAAUUGCCGGGAUGGAAAAACCCUCUUCACUCUGAGACUAUUGAUGUGGCAUUUCUGUAUAUGGAAGGGACUGAUUUAUAUGUGUGGGAAACAUGGAUUCUAAGAACAGAUAAACAACAGAAAAAGUGAUAAGUGAUGCAAAUAUGACCUUUCAAAACUCUACAGUUAGAACUUGAAGACUCUUAUAUCAAAGUGAUAUUUAGUAGUGGACAUAGUGAUGAGGAGUGUACUUGAGAAACAUUGAACUUUCUACCUCUUCCUUCUUUUAGUUACAUUCCAUGGAAUACUUUAAUGAAAGUGAAAGUGGCAAAGAAUAUAUUGUGAUACAUUUUAGGAGGAAAAAAGUAUUUGACCAAACAUGGUGAAAUUAAUUGUGUCGUAUAAUCUGGGAAAUAAAAAUUACAGAAUUUAAUUAAUUUUGUAAGACAUUUGUAUUGAGGAAUAAUUGUGUCAUUGAUAUUUCAAGAAUCAGCUGCUUUGUAUCAACG